This is a long non-coding RNA of Mesocricetus auratus (golden hamster), 793 nucleotides long. RefSeq lists it as uncharacterized. The record is from RefSeq and is a predicted model, not a curated record. Lineage: Eukaryota; Metazoa; Chordata; Mammalia; Rodentia; Cricetidae. The transcript is spliced from 3 exons.
AAAUAUCAUGGUCUCUGAGUCAGCAUCUAAUCACCAGGGAAUGGUCAAAAGUGAAAUCAGCAGGCCUCAACCUUAAACCCACUGAGUUAGAAGCUGGGGGUGGGGCACCUGGAGCUCCAUAGCUUGUGCUUUAGCAGAACCUUCAGGUGAUGCCAUCGCCCCUUCCCUUUUCCCAUAGGCCCUGCAUUCUCUCUCUGCUGUCUGACUUCUCUGGUCUCUCCUCAUCUGGUCUGGAUGAGCAACCAUGCAGACGGCUCGCCCCUCGCACUCACGCACGCCUGAAUGAGAGCAACCCAUCCAGAGAGAAACCCAGGCCAUCAAACUUAUGAAGCCUCUCCUCAUGCCUCCUUCCUGGGUCCCUGGCGUGGUACAUCCAACACUAUAGGUGUUUCCUCUGGGUCCUCAGAACCACACCCAGACUUCUUGCCUGAAGGUUUGAUCAAGGAGCCAGGGAAGAGAGCUUCGCACUAGGCCUAGCCUCAUCAGGGCCUGGCUUCCCAGCCUUCCGUUCUAAGCUACAGCAUCUCCUCCUCAGCCACGUUCCCAGGAGCCUCCUCCAUUCUUUGUGUGCUCAGCUCAUGACCUUCCCAGACGUGCAACAGGAAUCUACCAUGCACUCAUCCAUCUGGAAUGCAAGCUCUGUUAGGGGCCCGGCUAGAUGAUCUACCAGCAGAGAGCUCCUGACCCACCCGGAAGUACCCCAGACCUCUGCCCCUUCUAUACUGAGCAGUGCCCGGACUUCCAACCCCUUCCACCUCCGCCCCCUCCCAUACUCAGCACCGGAGACCUCUGC